This 76-nucleotide transfer RNA is filed under the name Halodurantibacterium daqingense. RNAcentral describes it as "Plastorhodobacter daqingensis tRNA-Thr". It matches the Rfam family "tRNA". Rfam says of the family: Transfer RNA (tRNA) molecules are approximately 80 nucleotides in length. Their secondary structure includes four short double-helical elements and three loops (D, anti-codon, and T loops). Further hydrogen bonds mediate the characteristic L-shaped molecular structure. tRNAs have two regions of fundamental functional importance: the anti-codon, which is responsible for specific mRNA codon recognition, and the 3' end, to which the tRNAs corresponding amino acid is attached (by aminoacyl-tRNA synthetases). tRNAs cope with the degeneracy of the genetic code in two manners: having more than one tRNA (with a specific anti-codon) for a particular amino acid; and 'wobble' base-pairing, i.e. permitting non-standard base-pairing at the 3rd anti-codon position. The record is from RNAcentral. Lineage: Bacteria; Pseudomonadati; Pseudomonadota; Alphaproteobacteria; Rhodobacterales; Paracoccaceae. RNAcentral also lists the same sequence under 5 other names.
GCCCGGUUAGCUCAGAGGCCAGAGCUGCGCUUUUGUAAAGCGAGGGUCGGGGGUUCGACUCCCUCACCGGGCACCA